GCAGAAGAGAAAGGUGAUUCUGGGAGAGCUGGGAAACAGAUGGGAAAUGGGGACAGAGGGAAGACGCUAAGUUGGGUGGAAAGUUUGCCUGGAGAACUCCCACGGCUCUGGCCUCCCCUCCCCCUCCUCGUCUCUGCCGCCCAGCCAGGAGGAGGAGGAUGGUUAGCAGAGAAAUGGCAACUCAGCCGCGAGCUGCAACUAGAAACUUUCUGUCAAUGUAACAUCCGCGUGGGUGGUGGCCCAAUGGUGGUUGGGCAUCGGGUCACGUGACGACUUCUUUGUAGCUCCGGAAGAGGACUGUGAAGUUUAGGCUGCUUGGAAGAAGCAGUAAUCGGCCAGAUUUUGUUGUUGGGGCGGGGGGGGGACGGUAGGUUCGCGGAGGUUGUGGCCAAAGGAGCCAGCAGACAAAAGGUCAAUGAAUGAGAAAAACUGAGAGGCAAAGAGGCCAAAACAGAAAGACCUAUGGAGAGCCCUCAAGAGUCCUCCUCCCCGCAACUUGUUACUUAAACCUUGGCUAAAGAAGUUGGCAGAAUGUCCCAGGCUCCUGAGAACUGAAGGGGAAAAAAAUCAAGAUGUGGGGGAAUUACCCACAGAGAUGGAAGGUCUGUGUAAGUCUCUUUCACCCAACCAAAGUCUAGCCUGGAUGAACACCAGAGGAUCUUUGAAAGAAACAGGAAGGAGAAGCAAGUUCAGCAGGAAACCUUCCCCUGUGAGGUAUCCUCUCUUCCCACCACCCCCAUGAAGACAACAGCCUGACCUAGAAACUUCUUGAAGAUUUUUAACCUCCAGAGCCAGUGGAACCAGUCCCCCUCCAUCUGUGGCCCUGCUGCAGGUACCACCACCUCCAGUUCCUGUCUUUGCUCAGCCAAGCCUGGGACCUGGCCGCCAGCGGCCCCUGUUGGGCCCCCAAAUGGAGCAGGAUUGUUUUGAUUUCCUAGACCCAGCCUGUUGGUGCUGUGACCAUUUGGCUCAGGUCUCUCCCCCCACCUCUUUCUUUUUUUUUCACUGAUAUUUUCCCACCCUUUCCUUGACAUUCAGUUUUAUUUGAUUUCUCCAAAAGUAAAAAAGAAAUUGUAUAACUGCUGGACUUUUCUACAGAGAUGGAAAAAGUACUUCCUAAAAGAGAAAAUUAUUCCAGAGGAAAAAAAUCAACAAAGCAACUUGAACAAUAUUGGGUUGGAAACAGAGAGUACUCCCUGUUUACUGAGGUUCUCGGAGGCAAAAAAUACAUACAUAUACGCAAUCACUAUUUUAACAUAGCCUUUUAAAAGUGUAGCAGAAAAAUAAAGAUUCAAGCUGUUGUAGGA
This is a long non-coding RNA of Galeopterus variegatus (Sunda flying lemur), 1307 nucleotides long. RefSeq lists it as uncharacterized. NCBI's taxonomy places the organism in Eukaryota, Metazoa, Chordata, Mammalia, Dermoptera, Cynocephalidae. The transcript has 4 exons. The record is from RefSeq and is a predicted model, not a curated record.